Molecule: ribosomal RNA, 393 nt
Filed under: uncultured bacterium
Lineage: Bacteria
Description: partial 16S ribosomal RNA
Rfam family: Bacterial small subunit ribosomal RNA
Source: RNAcentral
AUACGGAAGGUGCGAGCGUUAUCCGGAUUCAUUGGGUUUAAAGGGAGCGUAGGCGGAGCGCCAAGUCAGCUGUGAAAUCCCGCGGCUCAACCGUGGAACUGCAGUUGAAACUGGCGCCCUUGAGUGCACAUGAGGAUGGCGGAAUUCGUGGUGUAGCGGUGAAAUGCUUAGAUAUCACGAAGAACCCCGAUUGCGAAGGCAGCUGUCUGGGGUGCCACUGACGCUGAGGCUCGAAAGUGCGGGUAUCAAACAGGACUAGAUACCCUGGUAGUCCGCACAGUAAACGAUGGACACUCGUGGUCGGCGACACACUGCCGGUCACCAAGCGAAAGCGAUAAGUGUCCCACCUGGGGAGUACGCCGGCAACGGUGAAACUCAAAGGAAUUGACGGGG